Molecule: ribosomal RNA, 452 nt
Filed under: Clostridiales bacterium oral taxon 075
Lineage: Bacteria; Bacillati; Bacillota; Clostridia; Eubacteriales
Description: bacterial SSU rRNA
Rfam family: Bacterial small subunit ribosomal RNA
Source: RNAcentral
GAUAAACGCUGGCGGUGUACAUAAGACAUGCAAGUCGAACGGGAGAAGACUGGAAGAUUUAUCUACUAGCUCGGACACCGUGGCGGACGGGUGAGUAACACGUAAGCAACCUGCCUAUAAGAGGGGAAUAACAGUGAGAAAUUACUGAUAAUACCGCAUAAGCUGGAGGUAUCGCAUGAUACAUUCAGAAAAGAUUUAUCGCUUAUAGAUGGGCUUGCGUCUGAUUAGCUAGUUGGUGAGAUAACAGCUCACCAAGGCGACGAUCAGUAGCCGGAUUGAGAGGUUGAACGGCCACAUUGGGACUGAGACACGGCCCAGACUCCUACGGGAGGCAGCAGUCGGGAAUAUUGCACAAUGGAGGAAACUCUGAUGCAGUGACACCGCGUAUAGGAAGAAGGUCUUAGGAUUGUAAGCUAUUGUUGUGUGAGAAGAAAAUGACCAUCACAGGAGAG